Equus asinus (donkey) is the source of this 1821-nucleotide long non-coding RNA. Lineage: Eukaryota; Metazoa; Chordata; Mammalia; Perissodactyla; Equidae. The record is from Ensembl.
GGUGAAACUGCUUUCAGCCUGAGUCCCUGAGUGACUUUGUGGAAUACAGCCCAGUUGGGACCCAGCACUGAUAGUUUUAAAAGCUCCUCAGGGGCCAGCCCUGUGGCAUAGCAGUUGGGAUUGCGUGCUCCACUUCAGCAGCCCAGGGUUCAUGGCUUCAGAUCCCAGGUGUGGACCUACACAUCGCUCAUCAAGCCAUGUUGUGGCAGUGUCUUACAUUCAAAAUAGAGGAAUACUGGCAUGGAUGUUAGCUCAGUGACAAUCUUCCUCAAGCAAAGAGAGGAAGAUUGGCAACAGAUGUUAGCUCAGGGUCAAUCUUCCUCACCAACAAAAAAAAAAAGCUCCUCAGGUGUGUGUGAUAUGUGCCACCAGCGUUCAAAAUCUUCCACACUUGGCAGCUAAUUGCUGCUUGUCUGCUUGAUACUAUCAAGUUUUCCCAAACUUAGUAAGUAACAAUAACAAGAAGUGGCAUUUUCUGUGAGCUGAUAUCUUUUCUCAACUCCAGGAGGGUAGCAUUCAAACCACAAAGGAAAAAAAUAAGCUUGUGUUAUGCUGACUUGACAGUCUGGCCGACAGUUGUAUUUUUCACUCAAGCAGGUGUACAAGGCUGCUGAUCUGCUGCAGCAUUUAAUAGAUCUGUAGGGGAGGGAGUCUGAAAAGAACAAAGUUCAGAGUUUUGUUACCCAAGACACACAGAACUGCAGUUGCCUUCUGGUCUUGUUAGCCAGUUUGGGUUGCAAGAAACAGAAGCCUGCUUGUGCCGGCCCAAGGAAAGAGGAUUGGAAGAUGCAAGAAGCAAGUUCAUGGCUAUUGGAGGGCCAGAAGCGGAGUCCCUCAUGACCACAGGAAGAUACCCUUGGGCAGUCAGGAUCUAAGACUUCCUCCCACUCCAAGAUGCCACAAGGCCUCCCUUAUCUCAGCUCCUUUGAUUGAAUCUUCAUUGUCUCUCUCAACUGGCCCCACCUGCUUCCUCUGCCUACUUGCUUCCUCCAGCACCCCCAUGGGUCCUGACUGCAUUGAGACUCCCUGGCUUGAAUUCCACCACAAAUUGGAGGCUGUGGAUUACUUCGUUCAGAUUUGCUCACUCCAGUCUGAUCAUCCCUACUUGUUUAUUGGCACUGGAACACCCAAAUCACAGAUCUUUGGCCACCCCAUAAACUGAGUGGCCUCAGGUCAGGAAUUCAUUCCUGGUCUCAUCAGCUGUGGAUGAAGAAGCAAGGCCAUAACAUAGAACCAAGUUUUAAAUUGCCAGUUCCAGCUGGGAUACCAAGAUUUUAUGUAUACUGGAUGUCAACCUUGAGUUGAGAGAUGGACAACCAUACAGUUAUGUCAAACAGGUGGUUGAGAACCAGCUCAGUGACUCUCAGACUCUCAUUGAGGAGGACAGAGUUAAGAGAGGAUUUUUAAAGAUCAUUUCUUGGAAGAGCCAACCGCCAUGCACACUCCCUACCCCCCGCUUUAGGGAACAUAUGUUUCCUGCAGGGGUCCAGAAGACAGGUGCCUGAUCACACCUGAACAAGCUGACGUGGCCUGUGGCAGCAGAGUGAGUGACUGCAUCUAGGAAGUAACUUUCUAUCAGCAGGUCAAAGGUUGCCUGUAGCACUGUGUAAAUAGAGGUGGGCAAUUUGCCUAUCCCCCAACCUUCCUGCUGCUUCAACCCUGAAGGUCCAGAAAAUGUGGUCCAGAGGUCCGGCUAGCCUGAGGAGGAGUAGGAAUAUAAGACACAGAAGAAAAAAGCCACCAACUUUUGCUCCUUCCUGGACCAUUGGGGAAAUAGAAGAAAUUCACGUCUAAAUUGUGACUUAAAAUGACUGGAAGAUU